This 354-nucleotide ribosomal RNA is filed under the name uncultured eukaryote. RNAcentral describes it as "partial 18S ribosomal RNA". It matches the Rfam family "Eukaryotic small subunit ribosomal RNA", at positions 592 to 976 of the family's 1831-position model. The record is from RNAcentral.
CAAUAGCGUAUAUUAAUUUUGUUGCAGUUAAAAAGCUCGUAGUUGACAUUCAGGAUGUUGCGUGAUUCAUCACCACGUCCCACUUCACGAAAUCUGACUGAGGCAUUAACUUGCAGCUUUCAGAGUGCGUGACAUUCACUGUGAGUAAAUUAGGGUGUUCAAAGCAAGCAAUUGUUUGAAUACAUCAGCAUGGAAUGAUGAUACAUGACUCUGGUCACAUGUUUGGCUUUCAUAUCAGAGGAAUGAUUAACAGGAACAGUUGUGGGUAUUCGUAUGGUCAUGUCAGAGGUGAAAUUCUUGGAUCUUGACCAGACGGGCGACUGCGAAAGCAUUUACCAAGGAUGUUUUCAUUAA